UCCCAGAUGGUCCAGUGGUUGGGACUCUGCUUCCACUGCAUGGGGCACAGGUUCAAUUCCUGGUCAGGGAA
This 71-nucleotide transfer RNA is filed under the name Bos taurus (domestic cattle). It matches the Rfam family "tRNA". From Rfam's summary of the family: Transfer RNA (tRNA) molecules are approximately 80 nucleotides in length. Their secondary structure includes four short double-helical elements and three loops (D, anti-codon, and T loops). The record is from Rfam by way of RNAcentral. Lineage: Eukaryota; Metazoa; Chordata; Mammalia; Artiodactyla; Bovidae. RNAcentral also lists the same sequence under 1 other name.